AGCUUAGAGAAUACUUGCAAAUUGAUAAAUUUAAGGAAAGAGACAUUUUUCAGAAAAAAACGAUGAAUAGAUUGGUUAUUUCGAAAUCGAAGAGCACGUUAUAAAAGUGGCUGUGAAUUUUGAACCGAGGACGUUUAAAUGCGAAUUUCAACUUUGAAUAAUGCAUACGAGGCAAGCAUGGCGUCAAUAUUUUCUUUCGGUCAAUAGUUAUGGAGAAUAGUCCUUCUCACGGUAAUUCUGCAUGGGGAAUGGGCAAAAAUAGCUACGUUGGACAAUGCCAACUUCAUCAUUCUCGAUCUUCUGAAGACUUGUGAAUUUAUUUCCUCGACGAAUGGGCGUUCCCAAGGACUAUUCCGAUUUUAGAACCUUAGCAAUAGUCGAGUAGAAUUGAAAUAUGAAGGGACGAGUGUGAAAUUUUAAUAUAAUAUUUAAUAUGUCCCUAGAUCCUAGGGAAAUUUAGGUUCUACGAGAAUCCUAUAAAAUCUAUACGCUUACAGCUCGAUUCUCGUCAUAUUUUCAAUGACUAAUUCUUUAUUUAACGUAACAUUUAUCAAUGUGCAGAAAUAUGACACAUGGCUCAUUAGUCGAACCGAUCUGUCAAGGAUCCAUAGCUGAGCAGUGAAGAGGAAGCUCUCGGUUCGACGGGGAAAGAAGAUAGCGUAAUUUUAUGCGAAUUCCUUCAACAAAUUUACGCCCACCAAGAGACGAGGAAGAGUCGUGUCGCUCGCGAACGCGAUUCUACGCCAGGCAAAAGCCGCGUCGGUUUAUUUUCGACUUGGAAAAGUUUAAAGUUAGACAACCGGUAGGACGUGCCUACUAGCGUACAAUAUUACAGUGAGCCAAGUUGUAGAUCGUCAAACUUAACAAUAUAUGGUUUAUGGAAUAUAAUGUAAAAGAAGAUUAAAGCAAUUAGACUGGAGAAACGAAGAUGGAUUUUUGAUCCACGAGGAAAAUAUUACGAGGCGAGAAGAGCAAACGAAGUGAAGAGGAUAUUGCGCAACGCUUUGAAACGGCUCCUGCGGCACGCGGCUAGCAAGAAAUCUGAAACAGCGGGUCGAAGGUUGCGAUAGGUUCGCACUUUGCUUCGUGAUCGUAAACAUGUAACGACAUGCGUGUUAUGCCGAUUGAUGAACACCGAGAAAACCGGCGUCUAUUAUUAACUCCUCGUUCUAUGCCACGGCGAUUAAUCUUUUAUCGAUGGAUACUUAUUCAUUGGAUACUAUGGUUUAGAAGGAUUUUUUUUAUUAAAAGAAUUUAUGGAAAAUUAUAAUAAUUGGUUACA
Long non-coding RNA from Apis dorsata (giant honeybee), 1282 nucleotides. RefSeq lists it as uncharacterized. The record is from RefSeq and is a predicted model, not a curated record. NCBI's taxonomy places the organism in Eukaryota, Metazoa, Arthropoda, Insecta, Hymenoptera, Apidae. The transcript has 2 exons.